GGGGGAUUAGCUCAGUUGGGAGAGCGUCUGAAUGGCAUUCAGAAGGUCAGCGGUUCGAGUCCGCUAUCCUCCA
Molecule: transfer RNA, 73 nt
Filed under: Planctomycetota bacterium
Lineage: Bacteria; Pseudomonadati; Planctomycetota
Description: Planctomycetes bacterium (hot springs metagenome) tRNA-Ala
Rfam family: tRNA
About the family: Transfer RNA (tRNA) molecules are approximately 80 nucleotides in length. Their secondary structure includes four short double-helical elements and three loops (D, anti-codon, and T loops). Further hydrogen bonds mediate the characteristic L-shaped molecular structure. tRNAs have two regions of fundamental functional importance: the anti-codon, which is responsible for specific mRNA codon recognition, and the 3' end, to which the tRNAs corresponding amino acid is attached (by aminoacyl-tRNA synthetases). tRNAs cope with the degeneracy of the genetic code in two manners: having more than one tRNA (with a specific anti-codon) for a particular amino acid; and 'wobble' base-pairing, i.e. permitting non-standard base-pairing at the 3rd anti-codon position.
Source: RNAcentral